UACGUAGGGUGCAAGCGUUGUCCGGAAUUAUUGGGCGUAAAGAGCUCGUAGGCGGUUCGUCGCGUCGGCUGUGAAAUCCCGGAGCUCAACUCCGGGUCUGCAGUCGAUACGGGCGGACUUGAGUACUGCAGGGGAGACUGGAAUUCCUGGUGUAGCGGUGAAAUGCGCAGAUAUCAGGAGGAACACCGGUGGCGAAGGCGGGUCUCUGGGCCACUACUGACGCUGAGAAGCGAAAGCAUGGGGAGCGAACAGG
RNAcentral lists this ribosomal RNA (253 nucleotides) under uncultured bacterium. Its description in RNAcentral is "partial 16S ribosomal RNA". It matches the Rfam family "Bacterial small subunit ribosomal RNA", at positions 524 to 776 of the family's 1533-position model. The record is from RNAcentral.